Molecule: ribosomal RNA, 254 nt
Filed under: uncultured bacterium
Lineage: Bacteria
Description: partial 16S ribosomal RNA
Rfam family: Bacterial small subunit ribosomal RNA
Source: RNAcentral
UACGUAGGGGGCAAGCGUUGUCCGGAUUUAUUGGGCGUAAAGAGCUCGUAGGCGGUUUGGUAAGUCUGGUGUGAAAUCUCCACGCUCAACGUGGAGGGGCCACCCGAUACUGCCAUGACUGGAGUCCGGUAGAGGAGUGUGGAAUUCCCGGUGUAGCGGUGAAAUGCGUUGAUAUCAGGAGGAACACCGGCGGCGAAGGCGGUGGUCUGGUCGGUUUCUGACGCUGAGGAGCGAAAGCUAGGGGAGCAAACGGG